UACGUAGGGUGCGAGCGUUAUCCGGAUUCACUGGGUUUAAAGGGUGCGCAGGUGGGAAUGUAAGUCAGUUGUGAAAUCUCUGAGCUUAACUCAGAAACUGCCAUUGAUACUAUGUUUCUUGAAUUUUCUGGAGGUCAGCGGAAUAUGUCAUGUAGCGGUGAAAUGCUUAGAUAUGACAUAGAACACCAAUUGCGAAGGCAGCUGGCUAGAGGGAAAUUGACACUGAGGCACGAAAGCCUGGGGAUCAAACAGG
This 253-nucleotide ribosomal RNA is filed under the name uncultured bacterium. RNAcentral describes it as "partial 16S ribosomal RNA". It matches the Rfam family "Bacterial small subunit ribosomal RNA", at positions 524 to 776 of the family's 1533-position model. The record is from RNAcentral.